Molecule: long non-coding RNA, 223 nt
Filed under: Prunus persica (peach)
Lineage: Eukaryota; Viridiplantae; Streptophyta; Magnoliopsida; Rosales; Rosaceae
Description: long non-coding RNA (PPER_LNC002370)
Source: RNAcentral
AUUAAUAUGAGUUGGGUAGUUUAUGGAUUGUGAUGUGAAUAUGUGACUGCACCAUGCUAAGUACCCUUCCCUGGUUAUUGUAUUCAUACGUGGCAUUGAAUUAUUUGGCAUGUAGGCACAUUUGGUUUUGUUGUACUUUAUCACACGUGACAUUGGAUUAUCUGGCAUGUGAUAAAGCAGUCUGCGCGCGUAGGACUUAGUGGUUGGAGUUGGCCACAUGUGG